RNAcentral lists this ribosomal RNA (305 nucleotides) under uncultured bacterium. RNAcentral's name for it is "bacterial SSU rRNA". It matches the Rfam family "Bacterial small subunit ribosomal RNA", at positions 337 to 639 of the family's 1533-position model. The record is from RNAcentral.
UCCUACGGGGGGCAGCAGUGAGGAAUAUUGGUCAAUGGGCGGGAGCCUGAACCAGCCAAGUCGCGUGAGGGAAGACGGUCCUAUGGAUUGUAAACCUCUUUAGGCGGGGAGCAAUGCCGGGCACGCGUGCCCGGAGGGAGAGUACCCGCAGAAUAAGCAUCGGCUAACUCCGUGCCAGCAGCCGCGGUAAUACGGAGGAUGCGAGCGUUAUCCGGAUUUAUUGGGUUUAAAGGGUGCGUAGGCGGACGCUUAAGUCAGCGGUAAAAUUGCGGGGCUCAACCUCGUCGAGCCGUUGAAACUGGGUG